UACAGAGGGUGCGAGCGUUAAUCGGAGUUACUGGGCGUAAAGGGCGCGUAGGCGGUCAUUUAAGUUAGAUGUGAAAUCCCUGGGCUUAACCUAGGAACUGCAUCUAAAACUGAAAGACUUGAGUACAGUAGAGGGUAGGGGAAUUUCCGGUGUAGCGGUGAAAUGCGUAGAGAUCGGAAAGAACACCAGUGGCGAAGGCGCCUACCUGGGCUGAAACUGACGCUGAGGCGCGAAAGCGUGGGGAGCAAACAGG
RNAcentral lists this ribosomal RNA (253 nucleotides) under uncultured bacterium. RNAcentral describes it as "partial 16S ribosomal RNA". It matches the Rfam family "Bacterial small subunit ribosomal RNA", at positions 524 to 776 of the family's 1533-position model. The record is from RNAcentral.